ACUGUUGGGGGUAGAGCACUGUUUCGGCUAGGGGGCCAUAGCGGCUUACCAAACCGAUGCAAACUCCGAAUACCAAACAGUCUAGCUUGGGAGACACACGGCGGGUGAUAAGGUCCGUCGUGGAAAGGGCAACAGCCCAGACCGUCGGCUAAGGUCCCAAAAUGACAGUUGAGUGGGAAACGAAGUAGGAAGUCCUAAACAGCCAGGAGGUUGGCUUAGAAGCAGCCAUCCUU
Molecule: ribosomal RNA, 233 nt
Filed under: Euplotes focardii
Lineage: Eukaryota; Ciliophora; Spirotrichea; Euplotida; Euplotidae
Description: partial Bacterial large subunit ribosomal RNA
Rfam family: Bacterial large subunit ribosomal RNA
Source: RNAcentral